CUCCUCCACUAAACAGACUGGAGUCACCGACCUCGCCAAACAGUCUGACGGCCGAUUAUCGGGCUGGUGUGUCAGCGCCUUAACGUGAGAAAAAGUUAAA
Molecule: long non-coding RNA, 100 nt
Organism: Etheostoma cragini (Arkansas darter)
Lineage: Eukaryota; Metazoa; Chordata; Actinopteri; Perciformes; Percidae
Exons: 3
Source: RefSeq, a predicted model, not a curated record